This 27-nucleotide non-coding RNA is filed under the name Homo sapiens (human). The record is from RNAcentral. Lineage: Eukaryota; Metazoa; Chordata; Mammalia; Primates; Hominidae.
UGGGAUGUCUCAACAGAGACCUGUGUC